Molecule: ribosomal RNA, 424 nt
Filed under: uncultured fungus
Lineage: Eukaryota; Fungi
Description: eukaryotic LSU rRNA
Rfam family: Eukaryotic large subunit ribosomal RNA
Source: RNAcentral
GACCUCGGAUCAGGUAGGGAUACCCGCUGAACUUAAGCAUAUCAAUAAGCGGAGGAAAGGAAACCAACAGGGAUUGCCUCAGUAACGGCGAGUGAAGCGGCAACAGCUCAAAUUUGAAAUCUGGCUCUUUCGGGGUCCGAGUUGUAAUUUGUAGAAGAUGCUUUGGGUGUGGCUCCGGUCUAAGUUCCUUGGAACAGGACGUCAUAGAGGGUGAGAAUCCCGUAUGUGACUGGUUGCCUUCGCCCGUGUAAAGCUCUUUCGACGAGUCGAGUUGUUUGGGAAUGCAGCUCAAAAUGGGUGGUAAAUUUCAUCUAAAGCUAAAUAUUGGCCAGAGACCGAUAGCGCACAAGUAGAGUGAUCGAAAGAUGAAAAGCACUUUGGAAAGAGAGUUAAACAGUACGUGAAAUUGUUGAAAGGGAAGCGC